AAAAUCACCUCAUAAGUUAGACGAUAAGAGGUACCAUCUAUGAUUCCAAUUAUUAAGAUUUUUACUUUAUUCUUUAAGGGGAUAAUUUAGAAAUUAAAAUUAUAGAAACAUAGAGGGUGGCACAGAAUCGGAGGCCCCGACUGUUUACUAAAAACACAACACAGUGCAAUCAUUAAUGUGGUAGUAUACUGUGUGAAAUUUGCCCAAUGCCAUUAAUAUAAAAGCGGUCAUGGGAAACUGUGACUAAUUGAAAAUCUGGUUAAUAGCGGUCUUAAUCAUGAGGAUCCUAAGGUAGCAAAAUAAAUUGGCCAUUAAAUGUGGUCCGGUAUCAAUAAUGUAACGAUGGCCUCACUGUCUCUACAACUUGCUCAGUGAAAUUGAAUUACGCGUGCAGAUGCGCGUUACCUCCAGUGGGACGGGAAGACCCUAUGCAGCUUCU
Molecule: ribosomal RNA, 439 nt
Filed under: Amanita sp. 'crassiconus'
Lineage: Eukaryota; Fungi; Basidiomycota; Agaricomycetes; Agaricales; Amanitaceae
Description: LSU rRNA
Rfam family: Bacterial large subunit ribosomal RNA
Source: RNAcentral